AUUAUAUUAAUUGAUGGUAAUAAAUAAUUAUCAAUUAAUACGACGUAUAUUAUAUAAAAUA
Molecule: transfer RNA, 61 nt
Filed under: Lichtheimia hongkongensis
Lineage: Eukaryota; Fungi; Mucoromycota; Mucoromycetes; Mucorales; Lichtheimiaceae
Description: tRNA-Asp
Source: RNAcentral